Molecule: small nucleolar RNA, 106 nt
Organism: Dioscorea cayenensis subsp. rotundata (Guinea yam)
Lineage: Eukaryota; Viridiplantae; Streptophyta; Magnoliopsida; Dioscoreales; Dioscoreaceae
Source: RefSeq, a predicted model, not a curated record
AACCCACGUUGUGGACACUUCCGCAAAAGGUCCUUGAGUCAUUCCCAAGUCUCAAACAAAGUUUCAAGCUCCAUCUGAACAAAUGUAGAUAUCCCAUUAUGAAGCU